RNAcentral lists this ribosomal RNA (408 nucleotides) under uncultured bacterium. Its description in RNAcentral is "partial 16S ribosomal RNA". It matches the Rfam family "Bacterial small subunit ribosomal RNA", at positions 28 to 526 of the family's 1533-position model. The record is from RNAcentral.
GACGAACGCUGGCGGCGUGCUUAACACAUGCAAGUCGAACGAAGUGGCGAACGGGUGAGUAAUACGUGGGUAACCUGCCCUCCUUUUUGGGAUAAGCCUUGGAAACGGGGUCUAAUACCGAAUAAAGGGGGAUGGGCUCGCGGCCUAUCAGCUUGUUGGUGGGGUGAUGGCCUACCAAGGCGGUGACGGGUAGCCGGCCUGGGAGGGUGAGCGGUCCAAUUGGGGCUGAGAGACGGGCCAGACUCCUAACGGAGGGAAGAGUUGGGGGUUAUGGAAAAAGGGCGAAAAGCUGGUGGAGCGACGGCCGGGGGGGGGUGAAAGCUUUCGGGUUGGAAACCUCUUUCGCUAUCGAAAGGGUAGGUGGAGAAGAAGCGCCGGCUAACUACGUGCCAGCAGCCGCGGUAAUAC